GACGUAGGGAGCAAGCGUUGUCCGGAUUCAUUGGGCGUAAAGGGUCCGUAGGCGGCUCAGCAAGUCAGGUGUGAAAUCUCCAGGCUCAACCUGGAGGGGCCACCUGAUACUGCUGUGGCUUGAGUCCAGUAGGGGAGCAUGGAAUUCCCGGUGUAGCGGUGAAAUGCGCAGAUAUCGGGAGGAACACCAGUGGCGAAGGCGGUGCUCUGGGCUGGAACUGACGCUGAUGGACGAAAGCGUGGGUAGCAAACAGG
RNAcentral lists this ribosomal RNA (254 nucleotides) under uncultured bacterium. RNAcentral describes it as "partial 16S ribosomal RNA". It matches the Rfam family "Bacterial small subunit ribosomal RNA", at positions 524 to 776 of the family's 1533-position model. The record is from RNAcentral. RNAcentral also lists the same sequence under 1 other name.